This 253-nucleotide ribosomal RNA is filed under the name uncultured bacterium. RNAcentral's name for it is "partial 16S ribosomal RNA". It matches the Rfam family "Bacterial small subunit ribosomal RNA", at positions 524 to 776 of the family's 1533-position model. The record is from RNAcentral.
UACGACGGGUGCAAACGUUGCUCGGAAUUAUUGGGCGGAAAGCGCACGUAGGCGGCUUAGUAAGUCGGAAGUGAAAUCCCACGGCUCAACCAUGGAAGUGCUUUCGAAACUGCUGAGCUUGAGUCCAAAAGAGGAUCGCGGAAUUCCCGGUGUAGAGGUGAAAUUCGUAGAUAUCGGGAGGAACACCAGUGGCGAAGGCGGCGAUCUGGGUUGAUACUGACGCUGAGGUGCGAAAGCGUGGGGAGCAAACAGG